This 2834-nucleotide long non-coding RNA is filed under the name Strigops habroptila (Kakapo). RNAcentral describes it as "lncRNA (ENSSHBG00005009795.1)". Lineage: Eukaryota; Metazoa; Chordata; Aves; Psittaciformes; Psittacidae. The record is from RNAcentral.
GAGAAAAUGAAGAGAAUGUAAAUAAGAAUGAGAAGCUGAGGUCUUCUAAGAGUGUAUGUAUGUAUAGUAUUAAAUAUAAAAUAUUCCUCAUGGCUAGGUGAUCACUGUAGGUCCCUUCCAACUGAAAUUUUCUGUUAUUUCUAUUCUAUUCUAUUAUGUUCUCUUCUAAUUCUGUUCAGAUGAAACUGCAAGCUUUUGAUGUCUUUGAUGCUUUCUCCUUGUAUUUUGCAUUUAUCACAGCUAGGCACCAGGGAGCAUAAGAAGUAGUAAGAGGUGUGAUAGCUGAAGAGGCAGUAGUGUAAGCCCAGACUAGCUUUGCUAGGAUCCACUGGACAAGCUUUCUUGCCUUCAUUAAAUAGUCCAGAUCUCAUAUCCCCUAAUUAUGGCAGUGCUCCUGAACACAGGCUUUCUCUAUACUAUGUAGUAAAUAGGGUUACAAGGACAAAUUAAUUUUUGGUAGAACUUCACCGUUACAAAGGAAUAUGAGGAUAGAGGAACUGAAUUCAAGGUUCUAGAUGUUUCCUAUUGCUGACAGAUGAUGUACCUUCCUCAACUGUAAAUUUUAAUUAGGUUCUGGGCUUUUCACUGCAUGCUGAAUAGAUUUAACAUAAUGUAACAUUACACUGUUCUAUUUAUUCCAGAAUGAAGAAACUUGGGUUUAUGCUCUUGGUAUUUCUUAAUGUUAGGGAAUAAAAUUCAGAUGCUUACCCAAUUUCAAACAUUACUAGAAACACAUACUGUAUGCUUAAAUUAAAGAUGUAAAGUCUUUUCUUUCUGCCCAUGAAUCAUAUUCAUCUUGAGCUGCUAUAGCCUCUGAUGCUUAGGAAAGGGCAAUAUGUUAAUUUUGUUAUCUUAGGACUAUAAUUCUAAAUGUAAAAUGUAACCUUAUCCGUUAACUAAAAAGCAACUGUCAUGGCAUUCUGGCAUUUAAAACCUAAAUCUUUAAUAUUAUCUGUGCUUAAGGAAACAGCCUUUUGCCAACCACUAUAGAAGUAUUUGCAUCUGAUUUACUUUAUAUUUGAUUGAAAGUUUAAGUAAAUCCUCAAAUAUUUUGGUAUAGCAGUUCUGAGAUGUGGAAAAUAAAAUCCCCUGUGGCAUUUAGCAGGAUUUCUUAGAGUUUCAACUGAAGUAGACAUUUAAUUGACAGCAGAUUAUUUUAUUGUUAUUUGUUCUUGUUAUCUAUGUAUCCAUAAAUAAUUAAAAUGAUGCAUUCUUAAAUAGUUAUGUUGUUUUGGCUCAAUAGAGGAUAUUUCCCCUGUGCUCCUUCUUGGAUUUAGUCUUUCAUGUGGAGUAGUGAGACUGUUUUUGGCUGAGGUACUGGAUCAGAUUCCUUUCAAAACUACUGUAUUUGCUACAACCUCGUUGUAAAGGGCAAAUCAGUUAUGCUUUUUUAGUCCGCAGUUUUGUAUUGAGCAGACAGAAGAAGAAACUGGUGCUUGUCUGCUUUCUACCUGCCAUGCCAGUCUCUCCAUUCACUCAGUUAAUUGACAGACAGCAAAUGCUCACCUGGAUGAUCUUGUUCUUGCCUGAUGUGCCUGAGUAUCAAUAAGGCGAUGGCCAUUGGCUUCGUAAUACAAAGUCAGCAUGAGGGCUGGCUUUUAAAGCAAUCCUGCCAUUCCCACAUUCAGUCUUGUUCAUCGUCAGAAGGCUCACCAGCCCCUAGGGAUCUUUUUUGAUGUGACUGUUUUUUUGAGACUGUGUGGUGAGGCAAAUCCAAGUCUUGAUCUAGCUUAAAAAUGAAAUCUGUGAACAAUGUAAGCAUUUCACCUCUAGGUAAUGCAUACCCUCAAUCUAGAGUGGAGUUUUAGUGUUUGCAGAAAUUAAUGGAUUUGUUUUUCUGUAUCUAAUACUUAAUUGGUGGGGUAUUUUUCUUUGGUUUUGGUUGGUUGUUUGGGAUUUUUUAAUUAUCAUUUUACUGGGAAUUGCUUUCUUUGCGCCUUUUUUUCCUCAUUCACCUAAUUGUAUUGAAUGUUUGUCAGCAAUAGGAUUUGAGUUCAGACAACUACUUUAGCUAAGAAGGACAACAGCAGAGGAAAUCUAUGUUUUGGAAAAACAACAAGGAUUUCUGCUGCUGUUUGAAAAGGAGGAAGAUGAGUUUGGGGGUUUCUUUUUGCUUUAUUUCACAAUCUAAUCACUGUUUAAUAUCUGUUGCAGUGCAACAUAUGCAAUAUGUUAUUAUACCAAUACUAUUACCACAUUUGUAUGUGGUAAUUUUUAGCCGGAUUAUUCCUCCUGGUGAAACUUUUUCAGGUAACUAUAAAAAAAAAAAUGUUUCUUGAACACAUAUGGUGAUGUAUGCAGUUUCUUUCUUUUAGCUGUGAAUUCUGAGAGCAAACAGGAUUUCUUUUACCUGCAUUAAAUGUAAAUGUGUGUGUAUGUGUGUCUCUGCAAGCCAAAUUGCCAGACAAGAAAUGCCCUUUUUUGGGUUAAAAUUUUGUGGGAAAUUUAAUGAUAGCUUUCAAAAUACAGUUAGGAAAAUUGGUCAGACAUUUCUGCUGGCAGGCUAGAGACAGUCAUCUAUAUUACUUUGGUGUUAAUGCUGGAAAUACAUUAUUCAUCUCAAUUCAUCCUUUGCUGGCAGUUGCAAUUUUGAUUACUAUCAUUUUUACCUUGAAUUUGACCGGUUGUGCUUAUGACCUGCUUGUGAAUGGUAUUCAGGUUGUUUAUACUUCUGGUGGUAUGCUGGAUUCAGCCAGCAUUGGUCUCAAAAUAGUCACAACUCCAAGCACUAUCCUUACCAUAUGGUUUGCAUUAUACAUUGUGUAGUUCUACUAUGUUGAAUUGUAUCAAAAAAGUGCACCUCUUGAAUUAGACUCCAAGUAUAGCCAUGGGAA